CGACAGUACAAUAAAUCCGCGUCUUCAGGAGAGCCGUACGCAGCCCAGGUUGGGAAGGUAGUGCUCAGCCGCCUGUGUCAUCAUACAUCACCCUCAGGUGUUGCUGGCCGUGCUCUGCAGAGUGACAGUGCUCUGAUUUGUCUUCUUUUUGCCACAGACUCCUCCAGACAUCACUGUCUCAUUGAAUGUAGCUGAUCUCCGGCCAUAUUUCCACUCUUCCUGCCACCUUCCAUUACUCGUACUGAGAUAAAUCUCCCCUCUUUGGCAGAAGAGUUGAAUAUACAGCCUCUGCGUCUGGCGCUGAUCAAUACCUCCUUGAGAUAAGCCCGCCAGCAAAGGGUAGACAAGGGCGAUAGGAUUAGCUCUCUGUAUGACUGCUUGUCAUAUGAAAGGAAGGGGUGUCUAGCCUCCGUGGUGUAACCCAUGAAAAUACUCCAUAUUUUAGUAGAAUAGGAAGAGAAGUUUGGCACCAUCAUGAUAUACACAUGCAAGAGAACGUCUCAGCUGCUGGUGUGCAAGCUGUGAAGCACAGAGUGUUUAAUUAAUGGAUAGACACCAUUAGAGAGACAGCUGGACCUGCAUCCAAAUGAGACCGGAUUCAAGGUACCACGAGAUAAAGAUCUGAAAGUGGAGAAGCGGAACUGCAAUUGGGUUCAUUUAUAAAAGAGGCUGUUAAAGGUCAACUGUGUUUUCUUGUGUGCGAGAUAAAGAGAUGCUAUUAAAAACAAUUGGAAGGUGCUCCCCACGUGUGUGAAAAUGCACAGAACUCACAAGUUACAGGAGGAAAGAAACUGCUUUGCAAAUUCCAGCAGCGAAAAUCCUAAAGGUCAAUAUUUCAAUGCUCAUUUGAGAAGCUUCAAUUUGCAGUAGAUGAUUAGCACAGACCCACAAAUGGCAAGGGUACAGAGGAUAAGAGACUGCAGAAUGCUUAGCCCUAAAGAUAAGAAAGCCAAGGACUCCACAUCAAAUUCACCAUGGGAAGACAUUUAUCACCUGCUAUGAUUGCUCAGGCUAGUCUGGAAUGGAGAAGGAAUUUGCUCAUCCACGGCUAUGGAAAAGAGGUAUUAGAAAAGAAGAACUACUGUCCCUGCUCCCAUUUCAUCGGGAGUAUCAGAAAUCCACGAAGGGAAGUCACUGCCCUCUGCAGAGCAUGUCCUAUUUGCUAUGUGUGUGGAAAUCAGACUUAAGGCAGA
Peromyscus maniculatus bairdii (prairie deer mouse) is the source of this 1193-nucleotide non-coding RNA. NCBI's taxonomy places the organism in Eukaryota, Metazoa, Chordata, Mammalia, Rodentia, Cricetidae. The record is from RefSeq and is a predicted model, not a curated record.